RNAcentral lists this ribosomal RNA (207 nucleotides) under uncultured bacterium. RNAcentral's name for it is "partial 16S ribosomal RNA". It matches the Rfam family "Bacterial small subunit ribosomal RNA", at positions 568 to 774 of the family's 1533-position model. The record is from RNAcentral.
AGCGUAGGCGGGAAAUUAAGUUAAGUGUGAAAGCCUUGGGCUUAACCCAAGAAAUGCACUUAAUACUGGUUUUCUAGAGUGUAGGAGAGGUAAGUGGAAUUCCUAGUGUAGCGGUAAAAUGCGUAGAGAUUAGGAGGAACAUCAGAGGCGAAGGCGGCUUACUGGACGGUAACUGACGUUGAGGCUCGAAAGCAUGGGUAGCGAACA